Molecule: ribosomal RNA, 173 nt
Filed under: uncultured bacterium
Lineage: Bacteria
Description: partial 16S ribosomal RNA
Rfam family: Bacterial small subunit ribosomal RNA
Source: RNAcentral
UACUCCUACGGGAGGCAGCAGUGGGGAAUCUUAGACAAUGGGCGCAAGCCUGAUCUAGCCAUGCCGCGUGAUCGAUGAAGGCCUUAGGGUUGUAAAGAUCUUUCAGUUGGGAAGAUAAUGACGGUACCAACAGAAGAAGCCCCGGCUAACUCCGUGCCAGCAGCCGCGGUAAU